Molecule: ribosomal RNA, 482 nt
Filed under: uncultured bacterium
Lineage: Bacteria
Description: partial 16S ribosomal RNA
Rfam family: Bacterial small subunit ribosomal RNA
Source: RNAcentral
GACGAACGCUGGAGGCGUGCUUAACACAUGCAAGUCGAACGAUGAAAUGGAGCUUGCUCCAUGGAUUAGUGGCGAACGGGUGAGUAACACGUGAAUAACCUGCCCUUAAUUUUGGAAUAACCCAGGGAAACCUGGGCUAAUACCGGAUAAGUAAACCUGUGGCAUCACAUGGUUUUGGAAAGUUUUUCGAUUAAGGAUGGAUUCGCGGCCUAUCAGCUUGUUGGUGGGGUAAUGGCUCACCAAGGCGACGACGGGUAGCCGGCCUGAGAGGGUGAACGGCCACACUGGGACUGAGACACGGCCCAGACUCCUACGGGAGGCAGCAGUGGGGAAUAUUGCGCAAUGGACGAAAGUCUGACGCAGCGACGCCUCGUGAGGGACGAAGGUCUUCGGAUUGUAAACCUCUUUCAGCAGGGACGAAGCGAAAGUGACGGUACCUGCAGAAGAAGCACCGGCUAACUAUGUGCCAGCCGCCGCAGUAA